AUUGAACGCUGGCGGCAGGCCUAACACAUGCAAGUCGAGCGGCAGCGGAAAGUAGCUUGCUACUUUGCCGGCGAGCGGCGGACGGGUGAGUAAUGUCUGGGAAACUGCCUGAUGGAGGGGGAUAACUACUGGAAACGGUAGCUAAUACCGCAUAACGUCGCAAGACCAAAGAGGGGGACCUUCGGGCCUCUUGCCAUCAGAUGUGCCCAGAUGGGAUUAGCUAGUAGGUGGGGUAACGGCUCACCUAGGCGACGAUCCCUAGCUGGUCUGAGAGGAUGACCAGCCACACUGGAACUGAGACACGGUCCAGACUCCUACGGGAGGCAGCAGUGGGGAAUAUUGCACAAUGGGCGCAAGCCUGAUGCAGCCAUGCCGCGUGUAUGAAGAAGGCCUUCGGGUUGUAAAGUACUUUCAGCGGGGAGGAAGGCGAUAAGGUUAAUAACCUUGUCGAUUGACGUUACCCGCAGAAGAAGCACCGGCUAACUCCGUGCCAGCAGCCGCGGUAAUACGGAGGGUGCAAGCGUUAAUCGGAAUUACUGGGCGUAAAGCGCACGCAGGCGGUCUGUCAAGUCGGAUGUGAAAUCCCCGGGCUCAACCUGGGAACUGCAUUCGAAACUGGCAGGCUAGAGUCUUGUAGAGGGGGGUAGAAUUCCAGGUGUAGCGGUGAAAUGCGUAGAGAUCUGGAGGAAUACCGGUGGCGAAGGCGGCCCCCUGGACAAAGACUGACGCUCAGGUGCGAAAGCGUGGGGAGCAAACAGG
RNAcentral lists this ribosomal RNA (759 nucleotides) under uncultured Enterobacteriaceae bacterium. Its description in RNAcentral is "bacterial SSU rRNA". It matches the Rfam family "Bacterial small subunit ribosomal RNA", at positions 28 to 776 of the family's 1533-position model. Lineage: Bacteria; Pseudomonadati; Pseudomonadota; Gammaproteobacteria; Enterobacterales; Enterobacteriaceae. The record is from RNAcentral.